This 440-nucleotide ribosomal RNA is filed under the name uncultured bacterium. RNAcentral describes it as "partial 16S ribosomal RNA". It matches the Rfam family "Bacterial small subunit ribosomal RNA", at positions 338 to 795 of the family's 1533-position model. The record is from RNAcentral.
ACUACGGGUGGCAGCAGUGGGGGAUAUUGCACAAUGGGCGAAAGCCUGAUGCAGCGACGCCGCGUGAGGGAAGACGGUCCUCUGGAUUGUAAACCACUGUCCCCAGGGACGAAAAUGACGGUACCUGGGGAGGAAGCUCCGGCUAACUAUGUUCCAGCAGCCGCGGUAAUACGUAGGGAGCGAGCGUUGUCCGGAUUUACGGGGUGUAAAGGGAGCGUAGGCGGGACUGCAAGUUGGGUGUAAAAUCUACCGGCUUAACCGGUAGCCGCACUGAAAACUGCAGUUCUUGAGUGUAGUAGAGGCAGGCGGAAUUCCUAGUGUAGCGGUGAAAUGCGUAGAUAUUAGGAGGAACACCAGUGGCGAAGGCGGCCUGCUGGGCUUUUACUGACGCUGAGGCUCGAAAGUGUGGGGAGCAAACAGGAUUAGAUACCCUUGUAGUC